This 428-nucleotide ribosomal RNA is filed under the name uncultured bacterium. Its description in RNAcentral is "bacterial SSU rRNA". It matches the Rfam family "Bacterial small subunit ribosomal RNA", at positions 354 to 796 of the family's 1533-position model. The record is from RNAcentral.
GUAGGGAAUAUUGCACAAUGGGGGAAACCCUGAUGCAGCGACGCCGCGUGAGUGAUGAAGGCCUUCGGGUCGUAAAGCUCUGUCGUAUGGGACUAACACAAUGAAGGUACCAUGCAAGAAAGGAUCGGCUAACUUCGUGCCAGCAGCCGCGGUAAGACGAGGGAUCCUAGCGUUGUUCGGAAUCAUUGGGCGUAAAGCGGGUGUAGGCGGAUUUAUAAGUCAGAUGUGAAAUCCCAGGGCUCAACCCUGGAAGUGCACUUGAUACUGUAAAUCUUGAGUGUGGUAGAGGUUACUGGAAUUGUUGGUGUAGUGGUGAAAUACGUAGAUAUCAACAGGAAUACCGGAGGCGAAGGCGAGUAACUGGGCCAACACUGACGCUGAGACCCGAAAGCGUGGGGAUCAAACAGGAUUAGAAACCCUGGUAGUCC